UACGUAGGGUGCGAGCGUUAAUCGGAAUUACUGGGCGUAAAGCGUGCGCAGGCGGUCUCGUAAGCUGGGUGUGAAAGCCCCGGGCUUAACCUGGGAAUGGCAUUCAGGACUGCGAGGCUCGAGUGUGGCAGAGGGAGGUGGAAUUCCACGUGUAGCAGUGAAAUGCGUAGAGAUGUGGAGGAACACCGAUGGCGAAGGCAGCCUCCUGGGCCAGCACUGACGCUCAAGCACGAAAGCGUGGGGAGCAAACAGG
This 253-nucleotide ribosomal RNA is filed under the name uncultured bacterium. RNAcentral describes it as "partial 16S ribosomal RNA". It matches the Rfam family "Bacterial small subunit ribosomal RNA", at positions 524 to 776 of the family's 1533-position model. The record is from RNAcentral.